RNAcentral lists this ribosomal RNA (460 nucleotides) under uncultured bacterium. RNAcentral's name for it is "partial 16S ribosomal RNA". It matches the Rfam family "Bacterial small subunit ribosomal RNA", at positions 338 to 795 of the family's 1533-position model. The record is from RNAcentral.
CCUACGGGUGGCAGCAGUGAGGAAUAUUGGUCAAUGGACGAGAGUCUGAACCAGCCAAGUAGCGUGAAGGAUGACUGCCCUAUGGGUUGUAAACUUCUUUUAUAUGGGAAUAAAAUGUUCCACGUGUGGGCUUUUGUAUGUACCAUAUGAAUAAGGAUCGGCUAACUCCGUUCCAGCAGCCCCGGUAAUAAGGAGGGUCCGAGCGUUAUCCGGAUUUAUUGGGGUUAAAGGGAGCGUAGGUGGAUUGUUAAUGCAGUUGUGAAAGUUUGCGGAUCAAACGUCAAAUUGCAGUUGAAACUGGCAGUCUUGAGUACAGUAGAGGUGGGCGGAAUUCGUGGUGUAGCGGUGAAAUGCUUAGAUAUCACGAAGAACUCCGAUUGCGAAGGCAGCUCACUGGACUGCAACUGACACUGAGGCUCGAAAGUGUGGGUAUCAAACAGGAUUAGAUACCCUGGUAGUC